GACGAACGCUGGCGGCGUGCCUAAUACAUGCAAGUCGAGCGAUGAGGUUUGGUGCUUGCACCAUUUUGGAUAGCGGCGGACGGGUGAGUAACACGUGGGUAACCUGCCUUUAAGCGGGGGACAACAUCGGGAAACGAGUGCUAAUACCGCAUAACAUCUUGAAACGUAAGGUUCAAGAGUGAAAGGUGCAAUUGCAUCACCUAAAGAUGAUCUCGCGUUGUAUUAGCUAGGUGGGGAGGGUAAGGCCCACCAAGGGGAUGAUACCUAACCGACCCGAAGGGGUGAUCCGCCCCCUUUGGACUGGGAACAGGCCCCAACUCCCUCGGGGGGCAGCCGUAGGGGAUCUUUGGCAAAUGGCGGAAGUCUGAACGGGGCACGCCGCGUUAGUGGAGAAGGGUCUCCGAUCGUAAAAAUCUGUUGGUAGGGAAGAAAGUUGGUGAGAGUGGACAGCUCAUAAAGUGACGGUACCUGCUCAGAAAGGGACGGCUAACUACGUG
Molecule: ribosomal RNA, 497 nt
Filed under: uncultured bacterium
Lineage: Bacteria
Description: partial 16S ribosomal RNA
Rfam family: Bacterial small subunit ribosomal RNA
Source: RNAcentral